AUUUUCUUAGUAUAAUUAGUACUAAUGAUUUCCGAUCAUUCAGCCUUGGUUAACUUCCAGGAGGAAAUA
This 69-nucleotide transfer RNA is filed under the name Rhinella cf. acrolopha 'sensu Grant & Bolivar 2014'. RNAcentral's name for it is "tRNA-Gly". The record is from RNAcentral. Lineage: Eukaryota; Metazoa; Chordata; Amphibia; Anura; Bufonidae.